CAAUCAAGUAGUCCGAAACAAGACAAAACUUACUGUUACCCCCCCACGGUCACUGAGUAGGGUUUAAUAGUCCAACUUCCACAUUAGCUCUUCCCUCUCGCAGAAGCCGAAACAGCUCUGCUUUGCUUUUUUCAACACCCAUUUCAAUAAAAUCCCGAAUUUCCCAUAACUUUAUACCCUUUUUAUUAGUUCUUUUCAAUUUUGAUCCCAAAUUUCAAAUCUUUUCAUCCAGUUUCUCAGGUGAUAGAAAAUUUGAUUACAGAAGUUCAAAGUGGCGGGCGGGUUUUCGGAUCCUGAGGCCGGAUCCUUUUCUGGGUUUCAAAGAAGGAUCGAGUUUCACCCGGCUAGAAAAGUCUUUAAUGGGCUUAGUAAUAGUGGCGAAAAUGGGGAUUUUAACUUGGAGACGCUGAAUCCAAGUGUGUCGGAGCAAAAGAAAGAUGGGACGGGUCAAGGACAUGGUCCUAGUGGUGAUGGUUCGGAGUUUUGGGAUUGUGGGUUGGAUCCUGAGCUGAGUUUUAGGAUGACUUUUCGGAGAAUUGGUGCUGGUCUUGAAAAUCUUGGAAAUACUUGUUUUCUCAAUUCAGUGUUGCAGGGUCUGACAUAUACAGAGCCUUUAGCGGCAUACUUGCAGAGUGGCAAGCAUCAAAAUUCUUGGGGGUGGCUUUCUCUUCUGCUCAGUUCUUUCCUGCUUUUUACUCCCAUGAACACAAUAAAAACUAUAUGGGCAUGCAUAUUUCUACAUCAAUUCUGUGUCUAGGCCUAAAAAGAAGAUAACGGAAGACAGCCCGAGGGAGAUUGCAGCCGAAGAAAAUAGGGGCAGAGAGCUUGAGGGCAGUUUGGGAAACUCAUCCUAGUCACUCAGAGUUGUAUGAGGCAGUAAAAUAAUGCUACAAGGGAAUCGUUCAAUCAAGGAAUAAAUUCAGCAUAAUGGGAAGGAAGCAGGGAGAAUAUUCUUGAAUCUAUCGGUAUAGAUUUAAUAAACUAUAGAAUUUUGUAUAUGUUUCUAAACUGCAUUUAUAUGGUUCAACAAAUUUAUUAUAUAACUUGACUUUAAAACCUUAUAU
Long non-coding RNA from Mangifera indica (mango), 1064 nucleotides. RefSeq lists it as uncharacterized. The transcript has 3 exons. Lineage: Eukaryota; Viridiplantae; Streptophyta; Magnoliopsida; Sapindales; Anacardiaceae. The record is from RefSeq and is a predicted model, not a curated record.